AAUGGGCGAGAGCCUGAUCCAGCCAUGCCGCGUGUGUGAAGAAGGCCUUCGGGUUGUAAAGCACUUUAAGCGAGGAGGAAGGUUCGUUACUUAAUACGUAACGGAAUUGACGUUACUCGCAGAAUAAGCACCGGCUAACUCUGUGCCAGCAGCCGCGGUCAUACAGAGGGUGCAAGCGUUAAUCGGAAUUACUGGGCGUAAAGCGCGCGUAGGCGGUUGUGUAAGUUGGAUGUGAAAUCCCCGGGCUUAACCUGGGCACUGCAUUCAAAACUGCACGGCUAGAGUAUGGGAGAGGAAGGUAGAAUUCCAGGUGUAGCGGUGAAAUGCGUAGAGAUCUGGAGGAAUACCGAUGGCGAAGGCAGCCUUCUGGCCUAAUACUGACGCUGAGCUGCGAAAGCAUGGGGAGCAAA
RNAcentral lists this ribosomal RNA (410 nucleotides) under uncultured bacterium. Its description in RNAcentral is "bacterial SSU rRNA". It matches the Rfam family "Bacterial small subunit ribosomal RNA", at positions 370 to 772 of the family's 1533-position model. The record is from RNAcentral.